RNAcentral lists this ribosomal RNA (237 nucleotides) under uncultured bacterium. RNAcentral's name for it is "partial 16S ribosomal RNA". It matches the Rfam family "Bacterial small subunit ribosomal RNA", at positions 15 to 248 of the family's 1533-position model. The record is from RNAcentral.
GAUCAUGGCUCAGAUUGAACGCUGGCGGCAGGCUUAACACAUGCAGGUCGAACGGUAACAUAAAGAAGCUUGCUUCUUUGAUGACGAGUGGUGGACGGGUGAGUAAUGCUUGGGAAUCUAGCUUAUGGAGGGGGAUAACUACGGGAAACUGUAGCUAAUACCGCGUAGAAUCGAGAGAUGAAAGUGUGGGACCUUCGGGCCACAUGCCAUAGGAUGAGCCCAAGUGGGAUUAGGUAG